AAUUUGCGAUAGAACUAGGAGUGA
This 24-nucleotide non-coding RNA is filed under the name Arabidopsis thaliana (thale cress). The record is from RNAcentral. Lineage: Eukaryota; Viridiplantae; Streptophyta; Magnoliopsida; Brassicales; Brassicaceae.